RNAcentral lists this long non-coding RNA (11205 nucleotides) under Amborella trichopoda. Its description in RNAcentral is "long non-coding RNA (ATRI_LNC001744)". Lineage: Eukaryota; Viridiplantae; Streptophyta; Magnoliopsida; Amborellales; Amborellaceae. The record is from RNAcentral.
GCCUUCCUAAAAACGGUCAAACCACCAUAAGACCAUCAGCAUUAACACCCAUCUUCGCCAAUCUAUCCGCCUCCAUAUUGUAUUCGCUAUCUACAUGAACUAAAGACACGAUUUAGAUAGUUUCUCCAUCUCAAUCAUAAGCAUAGAUCCCAAUCACCCAUUACGAAUCUUCGAAUGGACACCACAGAACUCCUUGAACACCACAACAGACCAUAUUGAUACCUAAGGCUUACAACAGAAUUCACCACCCAAAAACCUAUCCGAUGUCAUCAAAAAAUGGAAGAAAUUUCUCAUGGUCCAGGUCCCACCUCAAUUCUGAUCAACCAAUGGAAAGCCACGGUCAAGAAAAUGGAGCCUGUUGGUAUUGAACACUAGUAUGCUACAUGCAGACUAUAGUAGGCCGCAUGAUGCUGUAUCAUGUCCUCUUGUCGUCCAGAAGAUUCCAACUCUACAAUCAUCCAACAUAUUCUAGAAUCUUAAAAAAUUACGAAAAGGCCUCUGAAUGUGGGAUAAGAACUAAUAAAAAUAAAAGUCAAGAAUCUUAGUUUUGAAAAGGCAAUGAUAGAAAUAUUACUUUCCUUAUGUGAGAAUGUAACAAGAAUGGAAAAUGUAUAUUAAAUAUAACAAUAUCAAAAAGUGUCCGUUAUAGUAAUGUAUCAUUAUUAUAUUUACAAUGAAACAACCACCACAACAUAGUAUGGGGUGUAAUUAUUUUCUCAAAUAGUUUUUUUCUCUCUCUAAAAUUCUAUGUGGUGUAUCAUCGAUCCCAAUCUCAGCUCCCGACGUGAAGCUUGUUCCUCUAUCCGAAGCANNNNNNNNNNNNNNNNNNNNNNNNNNNNNNNNNNNNNNNNNNNNNNNNNNNNNNNNNNNNNNNNNNNNNNNNNNNNNNNNNNNNNNNNNNNNNNNNNNNNNNNNNNNNNNNNNNNNNNNNNNNNNNNNNNNNNNNNNNNNNNNNNNNNNNNNNNNNNNNNNNNNNNNNNNNNNNNNNNNNNNNNNNNNNNNNNNNNNNNNNNNNNNNNNNNNNNNNNNNNNNNNNNNNNNNNNNNNNNNNNNNNNNNNNNNNNNNNNNNNNNNNNNNNNNNNNNNNNNNNNNNNNNNNNNNNNNNNNNNNNNNNAGGCAAAAUAGACACCUCAACAAGUCACUUUCUAAAAACCAAACUAAGUGAAUAAGUUACAAUCAUUUAAAUAACAAUUAUAACAAUUUCUAACCUUGUAUAACCACUAUAAAUAAACUCAAAUACCAACCCCUUAUGGGGCAAUUAUAUAUAAAGCAAGACUAGCUUAGGGAUUACACUUUUACAGUACAAAUUACAUAAACUAUGUCCCAAAGCUUAAAUACAUCGUGCAACUAAUCUAAACAAAAUUAUAAAGAAUAAAAUCAACUAAAAAGGGAAUUAGAAUGUCAAAUUAAAAUAGGAAAGCCACGUUUCGAACCCUUUGUGCCGGGGCCACGCAGUCAGGCCCAAAAAGGACUAAAUUUUGUCCCUUCGGAUUGUACAAAAGUGGUUCAAUCUCACAAUAGUAUCUAAUCCAAAUGGAAAAAAAUUACACACAUUAAAAUCACUUCUUACGAUUUCAACACACCGGCAUUAUCAUCCAAAACAGAAUGCAAAAGGUUUGAAUCGAAUCGGAUAAAGGACAAGAGAGUUAUAACUAAACUACACACGGUGGUCCCUCGGACCACCAAAACAGUCUUGUAUGGAAAGAUUAUGAACCCCCAUAGGUAAAAACGUGAUGAAAAAGUUUCAUAAAUUGAGUGACACUCAAAGAUAAAAUUAUUUGAUGGAUUUGAAGCAAAGUAAUCAAUGGAUACUAUACAUGAUCAUUGAUUCUCAUGCAUAUAGGCUUAUAACUUAUGAAGGACCACACUAUGAAUAAGCAUGAUGAAAAAGAUGAUCAAAUGGGGAUUCUAAGAUCAAUGAAACGAUUGUAAAUUUAAAACUCCAGCAACUACAAAUUCCAAGAAUAUGAUCUUAUGAGAAAAUAAAAUUCAUUGGAGUUUACCUUGAUAAAUGCGCACAAUGGACUUAAGCAUAAGAAAGGAGAACCACCAACAAGAUCACUAUUAAUAGAACUCUAAAAAUUUCCUCUCUUCAAUUUUCUCUUAAAAAACCAUAGAAGAAGGAGGGGAGCGUCGAUUUUCCAAAAUGGUUCAAGAGUUGAGAUAGUUAGGAUUUGAGAUCUCAUAAUGUGCUUUUAUAACAUGGGUAGUAACCUUGGACUCAAACAAUACCUUUGAUGCACUAAUCCAAAGGCACAUGAGAGGUUAAUGUACCUAGCCACCCAUCCCCAUCCAACCACUAGGAUGAAAGGAUGGAAUUUCAUACCAUUAUCACUCACCUUAACCUUAAGUUAUGUCACUUUACCAUUUGUCCUUGGCCCAUGUUUCUGUUCCAAUUGUAUCCAAUAUGACCUUACAAAAGUACGCUUAGUUUUUUUUAAUAAUGUAUUAGAGUAGAUAACCACAAAGGCUAAAGGGCAAAGAAGUAAUUGGCAAAGCUCACACAUGUGAAGAUAUUUUACUUUAUCAAAGCCAAUCAUUUUGUAGAUCUAAAAUUUCAAACUAAUCAAUUUAAAGAUAAUGUCUCAUUCACACAAUUGUGUGAAGAUAUUUUUCAACUCAAAUUUGAAAAUGUAUUUUCUCUUUAAUAUCAAAUAAAUAAAUUAAUUAAACUUCACACAUGCCAUGGAAGACCCAUGUGUGAGUUAAUUAAGAGAUGUGAUAAAAAAGGGACUUUAAUUUAUAACAUUAUAUAACAAAAUAUAACAAUAUAUAACAAUACACCAUAACACAACUCCUUAUAAAACAAGCAACCAAGUGCUAAUCUAGUCCCCCAUCUAGGGAUCAGUGCCCAGCAGGGCGGUGAUCUGAGAAUGAGGCGUUGUGUGCCACGUGGCGGCCCUAUGGCCCUUGGACGCCACAUGGCACUAUCAGGUCAGGACUAAAGUGGAAUUUUAGUCAAACAGUUUGAAAACCCUCAUUUUUUAGCAAAUAAAAUUCUAAAAAAUUCUUUAAAAUUCCCAAUAAAUAUUUAAAGUAUUUUUGAGCAAUGUUUAGAUUUUUCUCAUCAUUAUAAAAUUAGAUAAAAGGUAUAGUGAGAUCUCAAGCUAAUAACUAUAUGUAUCAGAGUACUCUAUUGGGCUAGUCUCGAAUGAUGUUCCGUCGGGUCACAGAUCGACCCAAUAGAUCUAUGUUCCAGAUUCUAAAGCAGGGACAUAUAAUUGGCCAUAUCAAAGUUGUUGAGCUAGAACUUCCAAUCAUUCGGCUCUCAAUGGAUUACAAGUAUACCCCUGUGGGACAUGAUCUAACUCAAUUACAAGAGUCUUCUCAAAGCUCAUGUGCAUGCCAUACAAUGGUCUCUUGUCAGGAUACAUACUCAUAUUCUAUUAGUCUUGACCAUUCCAUAUAGGGCAAAUACUCAAUAAGUACUCGGGUUCUAUUUUUCUCGUUUGGAUUCUCCAAGCCCUGGCCAUUUGGAGCUAAACAUGAGGCUAACUUAUAAUAUCCUGACUAGGAGGUGACCUUCACACCUCAUUGAGAAAUUACUUUCUCAACACGUGAACUCUCGAUGCCUCAUGCGUUCUCGCGGUAAAAGAAUCUAGGCUUCAUUUCGCAAUACGCAAGAUUUCAAUCUCUCAAUCGCUCCCAUUGAAUGAGAGACUAUUGGAAUUUAGGCCUUGAUAGGCCAUAUUUCCAACAUUCUCCCACUUGGCUUUUUGGAGCCUGAAUUCUUAUAUCUCUCUCUCAUUAUCGUUCACAAUAAAUCAAAGCAUGCAUAAUCAUCCAUGGAUUUAUCUUUCACAAGCAAUAGACAAAGUAAUUAUAAUUAUGUCAACCUCCUUAAAGCCAUCCGGUGCACAUGCCUCACAAAAUCAUUUUUCCCCAAGCCUUUGGUUAAUGGAUCUUCAUGCAUAGCCUUAGAUGGAACGUAACCAACUUCUACUUCACCAGCUGCUAUCUCUUCUCUUACUCUAUGAUAUUGAGCUUUAAUGUGCCUUGACUUGCUGUGGAACCUUGGUUCAACUGCCACUGCUAUUACAGCUUGAUUGCUGCACAUGAGUCUAAUAGUUCCAUGUUUUAGAGGGUUGAAGUUAAGAUCAUUAAAGAACUUCUUAAUCUAAAUGGAUUCUAAAGUUGUGGAACUUAAAGCUAUAUACUCGGCUUCCAUGGUAGAUAGGGCUAAAGUAUCUUGCUUCUUGGUGCGCUAAGAAAUGGCACCACCCCCAUAAAGAAAUAGAUAAUCCGAAUUGGAUCUCAAGUCAUCCGAGUCUCCUUGAUAAUCAGAGUCUGUAUAUCCCAAAACUUUAAGCUCACUCACAUUACCAUAGGUUAAUCCAUAAUGAAAUGUUCAUUUCAAAUACCUCAUGAUUCUUUUCAUAGCUUUUCAAUGUUCUAAUCCAUAAUCACUUUGGAAUCGACCAAUCAAGCUUUGGGCAAAAGCUAGAUCAGAUCUAGUUCCCAUGGUUAAAUACACUAGUCAUCCUGCAGCACUCCGAUAAGGGAUCCUUUCCAUCUCAUUUCUCUCAAGAUUAUUGUUUGGUUCCAUAUCGACAUUUAAGUUUCCUCUCCUUUCUACAGGUGUAUCUGUAGGCUUGGAUUCACUCAUACCACUUGCAAAUAUGUAGAUUGAGAUAAUUGAAUAGUGCGAGCUGCUCUAUCUCUUAUAAGAUGAAUCCCUAACACAUACCAAGCCUCUCCCAUAUCUUUCUUAUCAAAAUUACUUGAUAGCAUUGUCAUUGUGUCCCUUAUAUAGUCUAGGGUACUACUAGCUAUUAGAAUGUCAUCCACAUAUAAAGUUAUGAAAGUAAUGCCAGUUCCAUUGGUCUUAUGAUAUACACAAUGGUCGUCCUCAUUUGGUUUGAAUUCGUAUCUAAUCAGGGUUUGGUGGAUCUUGAUGAAUCAUCUUCUUGAAGCUUGUUUGAGACUAUAAAGUGAUUUGCUAAGUUUGUACACGAACUUUUCCUUUUGUUUUACAACAAAACCCUUGGGUAGGUUCAUGUAUGUAUCCUCUUCUAGGUCAAUAUUUAAGAAGGCGGUUUUCACAUCCAUUUGAUGUAAUUCUAGGUCAAGGUAAGUUGUUAUGGAUAUGAUCAUCCUAAUUGAAGGCAUUUUAGCAACAGGUGAAUAGGUGUCAAAAUAAUCUACCCUUUCCUGUUGGGUAAAACCUUUUGCUAUAAGUCUUGUUUUGUAUUUUUCAAUACGCCCUUCGGAGUUAAGUUUCUUUUUUAAUAUCCACUUACAUCCAAUGGAUCUAAGGUUAGGUGGUAAUCGGACUAAUUCUCAUACAUGAUUCUUUAUGAUUAAAUUUAUCUCAUCUUGCAUGGCUUAUUUCCAUAACUUAUGAUCCAGACAAGACAUAGUAUGUAGGUAAGAAUAAGGUUCCUCAUCGGGUUCUUAACUAAUCAUCGCAUAGUCCUCCCCAAAGUAAGUGAAAAAGGUAGGUGGUCUCCUUAUUCUCUCACUUCGCCUAAGUGGGAUGGUUUCAAUUUCUUUGUUAGGCUGAAGCUUAUGGAAGUCUACUCUCUUUUGGGUUGAUUCUCUCUCAAGGAAUUCAUAUUCAAGGAAAUGGGCAUUAAUGCUUUCAAUCACAUUACGAUUCAAGAGGUUAUAAAACCUAACCUAAAUCCCUUCCCAUGACUUGGGUAUCCUAUGAAAACACAUUUUAUGGUUUUAGGAUCAAGUUCGGACCUAUUUUGGGAUGGUAUGAGAACAUGGGCUGAACAUCCCCAAACCUUGAGGUGCUUUAUUGAGGAAGGUCGGCCCAUGAAGAUUUGGCAAGGAGUUGAUUGAAUUACGUUGGUGGGAGUCUGAUUAAACACAUAUGUGACCGUUAGAAUCGCCUCACCCCAAAACUCUAAUCCAAGAUUAGCGGUACUCAUUAUACUUCACACCAUCUUAACUAGGGUCCUAUUCCUUCUCUCGGCAACCCCAUUUUUUUUGGGUGAGUAAGGUAUGGUAGUUUGGUGGACAAUCCCAUAUUGGAUAUAAAGAUCUUGGAAGGCUUGGGAGGUGUAUUCCCCACCCCUAUCUGAUCUAAGGUUUUUGAUGGUUCGACCUAGUUAGUUUUUAACUUCCUCUUUAUAUUGUUGAAAUUUAGUUAUAACCUCACUUUUGUUUCUCAUGAGAUAGGUGUGACUAAAACGGGAAUGGUCAUCAAUGAAUGUUAUGAAGUACCUCAUGUGCCCGAUAGGCACACUCAUAGAUUGACACACAUCCUAGUGGAUUAGUUCCAAUAGGCUAGAGACCCUUUUGAACUUUUGGUGAGACUUCUUUACCAUCUUUCCUUUAAGGCAAACCUCGCAUCUAUUAUGAGAAUUGAUAUUCAUUUUAUCAAGCAAUCAUUCUUUCAUCAUAAUAUGCAUUCUAGAUGGAUUAAUGUGACCUAACCUUAAAUGCCCUAAAGUAAAAUUUUGUAAAUCAUCACCCAAGUAAGCAAACUCCUUUUCAUUUUAAUUUCAUAAAACCCUUGAACCAAGUGGGCUACAAAAAAAAGGUCUCCAUGAAAAGAGCCAUCAUGCACAUAGACAUUUUCCUUCUUGAAUAAGAGCAUAAACCCGGUUUUACUCAUCUUGGAAACCGAGAUGAGAUUCUUCCUCAUCUUCGGUUCAUAGAGGGUGUCCUCAAGCAUGAGAUUCUCACCAUUAUUGAGCUCAACCACAUAGUCCGCCUUUCCUAAGACCCUCUCUAUUUAAUUUCCAAUCAUAUAAAGAUUAUGAGUACCAGUUUUGACAUCAUAAAACCUUCUAAAGCCCUUCAUAGAAUUUGUCACAUGGUCAGUAGCCGCCGAGUCAAGAACCCACACAUCCACCUCUUUAUUGGCAAUCAAAGUCUCAUGGACCACACAAACUCUCUCUGUCCUUGGUCCUCCACCGGUAUUAGGUUGAGGCUUACCGAUAUUGGGUUUAGGAGCAAAAUGAUAGCUUUGUGGAGGAGGAGGAUACCUACAAAACUUUUGAGUAUGCCCAUAUUUCUUGCAUUUAAAGCAUUGCACCUUCGAAUAAUCUUGGCUUGAGGGCCAAACCGACCUCCCACCUACCAUCAUGGGUGUGGGUGGUGGUUUAGGCCUAAAAGGUAUGGGGCUAGUAUGGUUUGGUGGGUAGGCAUGGGUUUUGGGAGGGUAGGGACUAAAUGGGAAAGGGGAGUAGGAUUUUCCCUUUGCUUCCCCUUCCCUUUCCAUUUGCUUUUUCCCUUUCUUUUCUUGUUCUUAGCAUUAUCACUCCCACUCACUCCCACAUUACAUGUAUUCACUAUAGAAGAGAAGAAGAGAUAGGAGUAAUGAGUAAGGGAGUAGAAGAAGAUGAGGGUUGGUGAGAUUUUACCAUAUGGACCAUGGAAGAUGGUCUAUCCAUUGUCAUCAUUCUUUGCUCUUCCCCUUCCAUGAAAAAUGCAAUCUCCUCCACUAUUGUAGGUGCAUAUUUGGCCAUGAAAUUGGCCACAGAGAUCUCCCAUGAGGGUGAUAUCGAAAUACAAACAUUAUCUUUUGUGUCACCUUAACAUAUCAGUGACCGGCUCUCUCACUCAGAAUUCUUGAACUCCCUUAGAUAUUCACCCACUUUGUUGUGAUCAUCCAUUUUGCAACACAUGAGAUUUAUCAUUCUAAUGAUCCUUUGAGCUUCAUUCAAUGAGUCCUAUUUCUUUUUCAUGUUCUCCAUAAUAUCUUCGACACAUACGGAAUUCUCAUACUCCUUAAUAAAGGAAUCACUUCUAGUUGCAAAAAUAAUAUUCAUGGCACUUUGGUUUUUAUUAUGUCAUGUCUCAUAUGAAUCCUUAACAACUUGAGGAGCAUUGAUUGCGGGCGGAUUAGGUGGUCUAGAAGUCAAAAAUAGGAAUAGACCAUCUUCAUGAAACACAUAACCAAAUUUUCUUCUCCAUUCAGAGAAGUUGGUUCUAUUGAAUCUCUCCUCCUUAAGCAAUUUAGUGAGUAUCGAACGGGCUGCCAUGGGUUCCUAUUUGGCACUCUAUAAUCCCUCUAAAGACCCUAAUAAAGGCUGUAAAUGAGCCUAGCCCUGAUACUAAUUGAUAGUGCCAGUUUAAAGCGUCACCGGUCAAAGUUUGUGAAAAUAGGACCUUCAACUGGUUAGGCUUGUCUCGCAAGGCUCAGAUGAAGAGGAGGUAUGCAUUAGCAUGAGUAUCUGGGUCACUGUUCUCAUAGAAUUUGUUUUUAAACUCUGAGAUGACAAACACAGGGGGAAGGUCUUCCAUGCCUCUAAGGGUCUCAUGAACAGAGGCCUUUGGGGGUAGGAUUUCAUGCAUACCCAUCCUCACAAGUAUAUCCUGCAUCACUUUUAAAGUUCGGCAUGUUUGUAGGCCCACUGGUCAGUGGGGUCCCAAACGUGGACUGAUGAGUCGAGAUUUGGGGUAUACAUUGGCCUGCAUGGGCCUGAAAUUGAUAAGUCGCAGUCACCGGGGAGGUUUGAUACACUUGCGCCUGAGGGGCGUACUGUCCCAUGAGUGUCGCCACCGGUUGCGAAAACUGCACGGUAGGUGUGAUCAGAUACACAAGAGGGAUCGAUUGAAGAAUCGGCUGACUCUGCUUUGUUAUGGGUCGACCUAUGUUAUUAGGUUGGCUUUGGACCGACCCAUGAACUGGGGCAUGAAUUGUGUAACCUAAGUCAACAAGAAUGUUGGGGGCUGCCUGGAUGCCUAUCUCGCCUAAGGGUUGGUCUAGAUUGACGCCUCUGCGUAUAGUGUUCAAGACAUCGUGGGCUACACUACAGUGGCUCGAGGUUGGGUUAGAUCCCUUAGACUUAGAUGGUUCUUGAUUUUGAGACCGUUGAGCCCCAGGGGUAUCUUGGUGCUACUUCUGGGCAUCAUUAAAUACAACAUGAAGUUCUUCCCUCAUACGGCUUCUGCUUUGGUUGCCUAAGGUCACACGGCUCCUACUAUGGCUACGUAAGGUUCCCUGUUGGACAAUGCCUGGCCAGACCCCUUGGUUGUUCAGACCAAGAUGGGACCCAAGCUUGGACCUGAGUGUGAACCUGGUUCGGACCUAGGUUAGGCUAGGUAAAAGCCUAAACUUGGAUCAGAGUUUAGAUUGGACCAAAUGUGGGUCCGAGCUGAGAUCUAAGAUCAACCAAUCAAAAAUAAGCAAGCAAGCACACAAAAACGUUUGACUUAGUAAAGAUCUAUGGGUAGGCUUGGCUUGAGAGUGCGUUUCUAACUACUGAAAUGCGGUUAGGAUGAUAUAAGUCCCCGUAGAGGUUCUGGCCUCCUGUUCUAUGAUUUUGCUAGGUUCUACUAUAUGCGGAGUGGCUUUGAGGUAAAGGAUUACAGUGGGGCGCUCACAGUUAAAGUUAUGCGAAUCCCAACCGUCUCGACUCUCAAAGCUGACUUCCCCUCCUGCCGUUAACAUGGAUUUUGGGGGCUUUCAAAAAAUUUGUUUUCUGGUUUUUCAGGAUUCCCAAUCGGUGUGUGCUAUAGUGUGCAAAGAAGCAUGCAAAUGAAAAUAAAUUCAAGCACAUAUGCACACAAUAAGAAAGAAAACAAGUGAGCACUUGGCGCUGAGCGCAUGAGCGAUUGACACUGGUCGCACCUAGCGAUGCGUGCUUCGAGGCGAAACUCGCUCGAGGCACAAUAUAGAUGGAGGGGUGAGGCACAAUGUAGUGAAACCAGGCACAAUUCGUGCUAAGUAGAGCGUGACUCGCGUAGAGGAUGACUCGAACGGGAAAAGGUUCAGGGAGGGUGCAAGCAACCCUCAAUCAGUUUUGUUUUUUUUUUUUUCAAUUUUUUUAUCGUUUUUAAGUUUGAUGAAACACAGUUAAACUAAGCGUGGUGAAAGCAAGAAAAAUAUGGUUUCUGACCAAAUUAACAAACUAAAAAAAAAAAGAAAAAGUCAGGAGUAGGUAGACUUAUCUGAAGCAAAAUACUCUUUUUAUAUUUUUGAAAAAAUUAUUUUGAGCCAAAAAUUGGUGAACAAACACAAAAAGGGCUCUGGAAUAGGUCUGUGGGGUCCUAGAAUUUUUUUGGGACCUCUGUGAUCGGGCGGCACGGACCGUGUCACCCGGGCAGCGCUGGUCGGGUCACACCUGUAGGUUGGGCGGCAUAGGUCGUGUCGCCCAAAAAAAAAAAAAAAUUUUAUUUUUAUUUUUAUCUAAUUUAUAUUGAUGAAAUAAGGCUACUAAAACUUGCAGAAGCAGAAAAAUCUGACUUUUGAUGAAAUAAAAUUAAAACAAAGUGAAAUAGAAGAACAACAUAUAAAACAGACCUAUAUCAAGAAAACUACUUUUUUCGUAUUUUUAAAAAUUUUAUUUUUCUCUGAAAAUUUGUGUACAGCCACAAAAGAGACCCAGAAACCAGCCUGAAAAAUUUGAAAUUUUUUUGAAUUGGGCGAUGCGGGGAACCAGAGAGCGUGUCGCCUUGGACCUGGGCAGCACGCCUAGUGUCGCCCAAAAACUUAUUUUUAAAAAAAAUUUUUUAUAUGUUUUUAUUGUAUAUAUUGAUAAAAAUAAGAUUAAUUUAAACUUGUAGAAACAUCAAAUAAAUGUGUUUUGAUGAAAUUAAAUUUUAAAAAUGUGACAAUAGAUCUAUCAGAAAAGUAUUUGUUUUGUAUUUUUAAAUAUUUUAUUUUAACCUGAAACCUUGGAAACAGUCACAAAAUAGUACCUAAAGAAUUCUUGAAAAGUUUCAAAAUAUUCUGAGAUUUUUGAAAUUUUGACGCUUGAGUGACGCUCGAUUUGCCCCACGGUGGGCUCCAAACUGUUUACCAUGAAAAAUUAGAGAGAUCUUGAAAUGAAAAUUUCUCGGAUUUGACACCUUAAAAAUGACAAAAAUGAAAUAGUAGAGAAGGUUAAGAAAGUGAAGCAAAUCGAAUUUAGAUAUGAGGUCAGAUCUACCCGAAAACGAGCAGAUAUGUUCUCCGAUCUGUGAGAGGGCCAGCAUGAUCCAGAGCAUCCAAAAUGUGAUCUUAAAUAAAAUUAAUAAAAUCGGAUCAAAAUAAAAUUAAAAUAAUGAAAUAAGAAGACAAAAGAAAGAAUUGGUACCGAAUCGGGCUGGAUGGCCAGGCACUUUCGAGCCUCCUGGGGCUUACCCGUAUCAGAACUGGUCCUCUUUUGUUUCUCUGAGUCAGAUGUUUGUCAAAAAAUUUCUUCAGUGUGAAGGCUUUGAUUUAGGGUUUUAUGUCCUAACGGUUGAUCUGGGGUUUCUCUCAGAGGGCUAAGGCUUCCUGACGCAAUUUCCAGGGUUUUCUCUCCUGUAACCCCCUCAGG